GAUGAACGCUAGCUACAGGCUUAACACAUGCAAGUCGAGGGGCAGCAUUAUCGAAGCUUGCUUUGAUAGAUGGCGACCGGCGCACGGGUGCGUAACACGUAUCCAAUCUACCCAUGGCUCAGGGAUAGCCUUUCGAAAGAAAGAUUAAUACCUGAUGGUCUCGUCUGGAGACAUCUCCUAUCGAGUAAAGAUUUAUCGGCGAUGGAUGAGGAUGCGUCUGAUUAGAUAGUAGGCGGGGUAACGGCCCACCUAGUCGACGAUCAGUAGGGGUUCUGAGAGGAAGGUCCCCCACAUUGGAACUGAGACACGGUCCAAACUCC
This 320-nucleotide ribosomal RNA is filed under the name uncultured Bacteroidales bacterium. RNAcentral's name for it is "bacterial SSU rRNA". It matches the Rfam family "Bacterial small subunit ribosomal RNA", at positions 28 to 339 of the family's 1533-position model. Lineage: Bacteria; Pseudomonadati; Bacteroidota; Bacteroidia; Bacteroidales. The record is from RNAcentral.